GAUGAAGAACGUAGCGAAAUGCGAUACUUGGUGUGAAUUGCAGAAUCCCGUGAACCAUCGAGUCUUUGAACGCAAGUUGCGCCCGAAGCCAUUAGGCCGAGGGCACGCCUGCCUGGGCGUCACACGUCGUUGCCCCCCCAUCUACUCCUUCGGGAUUGCGGGGGGCGGAUGAUGGCCUCCCGUGCGCCUCGUCGCGCGGUUGGCAUAAAUACCAAGUCCUCGGCGACGCACGCCACGACAAUCGGUGGUUGCGAAACCUCGGUUGCCCGUCGUGUGCGGUCGUCGCGCAUCGAGGGCUCGAAAAAAUUGCCGGGCUCCGGCUCGGCUUUCAACGCGACCCCAGGUCAGGCGUGGUUACCCGCUGAAUUUAAGCAUAUCAAUAAGCGGAGGA
Molecule: unclassified non-coding RNA, 391 nt
Filed under: soil metagenome
Description: partial contains 5.8S ribosomal RNA, internal transcribed spacer 2, and large subunit ribosomal RNA
Rfam family: 5.8S ribosomal RNA (bases 1-122)
Source: RNAcentral